AUUUUAAGCAUUUACCUGAAACAGAUUGGAAAUAAUCUAUGUAACCUAGAAGCUUAGAAUAUACUUAUGAAAAUGGUUGACAUAAACAUACUGAAAAUUUUAUGAGUUAUUUCCCUUAACAAAGGUCUACCUCUUUAAAUAUUCUGUGAAUAAUUAAAUGUUUUUUAAGACUCAUUCAUCCACCUCUUCCUGUGUACACCCAAAUUUUGUAUGUUGAUAUUUGAACAGAAACAUUUUCUCCUCAUAAGAUGACCAAAAUAUACUGUAGGUUCACUAUAAUUUGUGGAUACCAAUCUUUGUGGAUUUCGUGGGUACAGAUUAACCACAAAAUUAAUUGUUCAACAAAUAAGAUAUUUUCUAUAGGCUUGUAUGCAGACAUCAGCAAAACCAUGAAAUUAAACAUCCCGGAACAUACAUGUAAGUUUUCCUUAAUCCACGAGAAUUGGUACCCAUGAAAGUGACUGAAUCCACAGUAGUUUUGUUCGAGUUCUAGAACAUAAUUCACAUUCAAAUGUCACAUUCCAGAAUACAUAUUUUGGAAAAGUUGUUUGUCCAGAUAAUAAGGAAUAAUAUAUUUAUUGAUCUUAAAGUUUUAUACAAAACUCAAUGAAAUAUAAACAGACAUUUUUGUAAAAUCUCUUUAAAUAAAAAAAAUAAUUUGUUGGCAGGC
Molecule: long non-coding RNA, 670 nt
Filed under: Mytilus galloprovincialis (Mediterranean mussel)
Lineage: Eukaryota; Metazoa; Mollusca; Bivalvia; Mytilida; Mytilidae
Source: RNAcentral